CACACUGUGUGGUAGGUAGCUUGGAAGGCAGGUCCCAGUGACCCUCCCUCCUUCUCACGCCCUUGUGGGAUCCCUUCCUGUUGAUUUGACUUGGAUGUCACUUCCAACAUUAGAAGCCAACUACCACACUGACUCAUGGACACAGCUGACUCAUGGACACAGGGCAAGAAACAGAGGCUUCGGCCAACAGCCAGUGAGGAAGCGAGCCUGUCUAACAGCCUGUGAGGUACAGAGAGUCCUGCCAGCAACCAUUUGAGGGGGUUCGAGUUUGGACCUUCUCCCAGAUGAGUGCUCAGUGUAAAACAGAACAAAAGUAGAGUGGAUUAUGGGCUACUUGUCUGGAAACAACAUAAAACAAGAAAAGGAGGACCUCUGGGUACAACUGGUCGGCACUGGAUCUCAUUUUGGAAGGACUGAGGUUGGCAGAUUUAGCAUCACAUACUGAAAUUCGUUCUUCUGAAACACAGUAUAGAACAAGUGUGUUACAGAAAUGCAGACUACCAAGAAAUACGGAAAAAAGAUGUUCUAGCUUACUCAUAAGUUAACACAAAUUAAAACAACCAGAUUCCAUUUUUCAUCUAUCAGAAUGGCAAAAGUUAAAGAAUUAGGCAAAACAUGUUGUGGUAAUUGUCACUAUUAACUGAGAUUGCACAGUCUAAAACCAUGGGAAUAAAACCUAUUUCUGUUUAUGGACAUGCAUAUGUAAGGAUCUCCAAGACAUGUUAAUUCUAAUCAGUGUCUACAUGCUGCUCAUUGCCUUCCAUAACGAAAGGAGUUAAGUCCCAUUUUUGAAGUUUAAAACUUUCAUAUGGUUCUGAUGGGCUGAUUAAUGGUCCCUUAAGGAUAUCUAUAUCCCCAGAGCCUGUUACUAUAUGUAGGAAAAGUGACUCUGCAGUUGCGAACAAUUUCAAGAACUUGGGUAGGAAACUUUUCCUGAAUUAGCCAUGUGACCUAAUAUAAUCACGUGGGCUUUUGUAAGAGGGACUCAAGGAGUCAGAGUUAGGUAGCCCUAUGAUGAAGAAGAGGCAGAGACAGAAGACACUAUGCUACCAGCUUUGAAGAUGGAAUAAAGGGUCACAGGUCAAAGAACAUGACUUUUCUAGAAGUUAGCAAAGGUAAGGGAUUGGACUCUCCCCUGGAGCCUCCAGAAGGAAACAGUCCUGCCAGAAUCUUAAGAUAUUUCAGACUUUGGAUCUCCAUAAUUUCAAGAGAAUAAAUAUAUUUUAUUUUAAGGCACUGUGUGAUGAUUUGUUAUAGCAGCAAUAGGGAACUAAUACAGGUGCUUUGAAAAACAUCAUGAAUUAAAAUGACUAAAAACAGGCUAUUAAGAUAUAAAUUAAAUACACUAUUAUAAGAAGUUAAAAAAGAAGGUGAUUAUAAUGCUU
This is a long non-coding RNA of Sciurus carolinensis (gray squirrel), 1385 nucleotides long. RefSeq lists it as uncharacterized. NCBI's taxonomy places the organism in Eukaryota, Metazoa, Chordata, Mammalia, Rodentia, Sciuridae. The record is from RefSeq and is a predicted model, not a curated record. The transcript has 3 exons.